AGAGUUAAACAGUACGUGAAAUUGUUGAAAGGGAAACGAUUGAAGCCAGUCGUACUGGCGGGAAAUCAACUUCUCGAGUGCUUGUCGUGGGUGACGUUGAGCUUCACGGCCUUUGUUGCUUACGUUAUGGUGCUUUUGAGGUGCACUUUUCCGUAGGUAGGUCAACAUCGAUUUUGAUCGUCAUAAAAUGAUCGGAGGAAUGUGGCUCUGAUCUCGUAUCGGAGUGUUAUAGCCUUUGGUAAAUGUGACGAUUGGGAUCGAGGAUUGCAACGAAUAUCCUUUUGGGGCUAUCCGUCUGAUUUCUGAUUGUUGGCUCAGGUGUCGAAAGCGUGCUUAUGACAUUCUAGUUGGCGGUCAAAAGGUUAGAACGUGAUUACAUUCGUUAAGGAUGUUGACGUAAUGGCUUUAAACGACC
This 415-nucleotide ribosomal RNA is filed under the name Nanoglomus plukenetiae. RNAcentral's name for it is "partial large subunit ribosomal RNA". The record is from RNAcentral. Lineage: Eukaryota; Fungi; Glomeromycota; Glomeromycetes; Glomerales; Glomeraceae.